Molecule: ribosomal RNA, 254 nt
Filed under: uncultured bacterium
Lineage: Bacteria
Description: partial 16S ribosomal RNA
Rfam family: Bacterial small subunit ribosomal RNA
Source: RNAcentral
GAUCAUGGCUCAGGACGAACGCUGGCGGCGUGCCUAACACAUGCAAGUCGAACGGAGAUGUUUAUUUCGGUAGACAUCUUAGUGGCGCACGGGUGAGUAACGCGUGAAUAACCUGACCCGAAGAGGGGGAUAACACUUGGAAACAAGUGCUAAUACCGCAUAAGACCACGGACCGGCAUCGGUCAGAGAUCAAAGGAGGAAUCCGCUUUGGGAGGGGUUCGCGUCCCAUUAGGUAGUUGGUGAGGUAACGGCCC